AUCUGGGCGGCGGAAUUCAGGAUGGCCGGCGUGCUUUCGCGGUGCGUCGGUCGUUUGAUAUUUCCGUCGCCAACAAACUGCAGACGUCGCGACCUGUUCGCGGUCGGUCCCUGCUCGGAGGAGCCACGUUCGAGCUCGUUGUGUGCGCGUUUCGGCGCGUCACACGGCGAAGGCGUGGAUCUCUGGCUGGCCGUCGGACAGUAUGCAUAGCGGUGUCCGAUGUCGUCGUCUCGUACGCGCGGCAUCGGUACCGGUCAGCGACGAAUUCUUCGGGCCUCUUUCCGACCCGUCUUGAAACACGGACCAAGGAGUCUAACAUGCGCGCGAGUCGCGGGGUAUCGAGCGUACUUCGGUGCGUUCGUUAUGUUGCGAAACCCGUACAUGUCGAAGGCGUAAUGAAAGUGAAUGGGGAAGAUGGUGUUCCGAGUACACGUUCCGCGAUCGUCGGUAUCGCGGCCGGACACCCGCAUUCCCGGGGCGUCUCAACGGCCCGUCGCUGAUGCGGACAGUCGUCUCUCGGGGUGGCUGUCGGUCGGCGACGAACCGA
Molecule: ribosomal RNA, 547 nt
Filed under: Dynaspidiotus apacheca
Lineage: Eukaryota; Metazoa; Arthropoda; Insecta; Hemiptera; Diaspididae
Description: eukaryotic LSU rRNA
Source: RNAcentral